Molecule: ribosomal RNA, 200 nt
Filed under: uncultured bacterium
Lineage: Bacteria
Description: partial 16S ribosomal RNA
Rfam family: Bacterial small subunit ribosomal RNA
Source: RNAcentral
GAUGAACGCUGGCGGCGUGCUUAACACAUGCAAGUCGAACGGUGAAGCCCAGCUUGCUGGGUGGAUCAGUGGCGAACGGGUGAGUAACACGUGAGCAACCUGCCCCUGACUCUGGGAUAAGCGCUGGAAACGGCGUCUAAUACUGGAUACGAGUAGCGACCGCAUGGUCAGUUACUGGAAAGAUUUUAUUGGUUGGGGAU